Molecule: ribosomal RNA, 301 nt
Filed under: uncultured bacterium
Lineage: Bacteria
Description: partial 16S ribosomal RNA
Rfam family: Bacterial small subunit ribosomal RNA
Source: RNAcentral
CAGUCGCGCGGGAACACGUAGGGUGCAAGCGUUAAUCGGAAUUACUGGGCGUAAAGCGUGCGCAGGCGGUUAUAUAAGACAGAUGUGAAAUCCCCGGGCUCAACCUGGGAACUGCAUUUGUGACUGUAUAGCUAGAGUACGGCAGAGGGGGAUGGAAUUCCGCGUGUAGCAGUGAAAUGCGUAGAUAUGCGGAGGAACACCGAUGGCGAAGGCAAUCCCCUGGGCCUGUACUGACGCUCAUGCACGAAAGCGUGGGGAGCAAACAGGAUUAGAUACCCCAGUAGUCCCUGUCUCUUAUACA